UGCGUAGGCGGCGCGGAAAGUUGGGUGUGAAAUCCCUCGGCUCAACCGAGGAACUGCGCCCAAAACUACCGUGCUCGAGGAAGAUAGAGGUGAGCGGAACUCACGGUGGAGCGGUGAAAUGCGUUGAUAUCGUGAGGAACACCCGUGGCGAAAGCGGCUCACUGGGUCUUUUCUGACGCUGAUGCACGAAAGCUAGGGGAGCAAACG
Molecule: ribosomal RNA, 207 nt
Filed under: uncultured bacterium
Lineage: Bacteria
Description: partial 16S ribosomal RNA
Rfam family: Bacterial small subunit ribosomal RNA
Source: RNAcentral